Esox lucius (northern pike) is the source of this 278-nucleotide long non-coding RNA. RefSeq lists it as uncharacterized. NCBI's taxonomy places the organism in Eukaryota, Metazoa, Chordata, Actinopteri, Esociformes, Esocidae. The record is from RefSeq and is a predicted model, not a curated record. The transcript has 3 exons.
UUGGCUGUGACAAGACCAACCCGGUUAGGUUUUGGGCUGGUGAAGAGGAAAAAAGAUCAGUAUUCUGUGUUCCAUUUCCACUCUUGUCGAAGCAUUCGAAUAAGGUCAACAGUGCUUCAACACCUUCCCAGAACCGGACCCCUGCUGUCAGUAAACUAGCAAUUGUCAACCAUGAAAACACUUGCCAAACAGAGAAUUUAUCUUCCACCAAGAAGAAAUCAAGGAAGCAGUUCUUUUCAGGGACAUUUGCAGGUUUAAUAAAUGCCCUAUGCAGUGUU